AGCCUGUUAGCUCAAUAUGGUAGAGCAUUGUGUGAAAUACACAAAGACGUAGGUUCAACUCCUACAUAGGCUA
Spinacia oleracea (spinach) is the source of this 73-nucleotide non-coding RNA. Lineage: Eukaryota; Viridiplantae; Streptophyta; Magnoliopsida; Caryophyllales; Amaranthaceae. The record is from Rfam.